Molecule: microRNA precursor, 118 nt
Filed under: Trifolium pratense (red clover)
Lineage: Eukaryota; Viridiplantae; Streptophyta; Magnoliopsida; Fabales; Fabaceae
Source: RNAcentral
AAAGUGAAAUUGAGCCAAGGAUGACUUGCCGGCAUACUACUUUGCCACUAAUUUAGCUAACUAGCUUAAUUUGUUGGGUAUUUCUGGCAGGUUAUUCUUCGGCUAUAUUUGGCUUUCU